CCACAAGGGGUGAAGCCUGCGGUUCAAUUGGAGUCAACGCCAGGAAACUUACCAGGAGAGACAGCAGGUUGAGGGUCAAGCUGAAGACUUUACCUGACGAGCUGAGAGGAGGUGCAUGGCCGUCGCCAGCUCGUGCCGUGAGGCGUCCUGUUAAGUCAGGCAACGAGCGAGACCCCUGUUGGUAAUUGCUAACAGUUCAGAGAUGGAUUGAGGCUAGUUACCAAGACUGCCGCUGCUAAAGCGGAGGAAGGAGGGGGCCACGGCAGGUCAGUAUGCCCCGAAACUCCUGGGCCACACGCGGGCUGCAAUGGUAAGGACAAUCGGUUCCGACCUCGAAAGAGGAAGGCAAUCCACAAACCUUACCCCAGUUGUGAUUGAGGGUUGAAACCCGCCCUCAUGAAUAUGGAAUCCCUAGUAACCGCGUGUCAUCACCGCGCGGUGAAUACGUCCCUGCUCCUUGU
Molecule: ribosomal RNA, 461 nt
Filed under: uncultured archaeon
Lineage: Archaea
Description: bacterial SSU rRNA
Rfam family: Archaeal small subunit ribosomal RNA
Source: RNAcentral